CUCACCUUCACUGGAAUUACUGAGGAUUACGGGAAUUACAGCAGCAGCUCAGCAGCAGGAAGGAAGCUGCCAGAACAACAAGCAUGCGCAUCCAGAAAUUUCAAAAUCAGCAAAAGCUAACAUGCCCAUCUGCUAAAUGGACUCACGGAGAUGCUUGGCUGGUUCCUGACUUGCAGGAUUAAUACACGUUGAGAUGAAACUGACUUCCCACCAGAAUGUAAGUAACUGUCUCUAUUUGACACAGUUGCCGACUAAUGAUUAAUGAUUCAGAAGUCUUAACUCUAUAAAUUAGGUUGAAAUUGCCCGAAUGGUGUCAUAAGUUAGUAGUGAAAGGACUGGAAUAGACACAAGUAGAUAGAUGGUACAAGUUACAUGUUCUAGUUCUGCUAGAAAAUGGAGAUUUAUCACAGAAUCACAGAAUGGCUUGUGUUAGAAGGGACAUUAAUAAUUAUCAAGUUCCAAGCCCCUGU
Long non-coding RNA from Tympanuchus pallidicinctus (lesser prairie-chicken), 470 nucleotides. RefSeq lists it as uncharacterized. The transcript is spliced from 3 exons. The record is from RefSeq and is a predicted model, not a curated record. Lineage: Eukaryota; Metazoa; Chordata; Aves; Galliformes; Phasianidae.